AGUUGCACCUACAAAUUUAGCAUUUUUAACAUGGCACAUAUAUGUUGGAAGCAUAGAACACAUGACCUUCUUUAGUAGCCUGGGUGACUCCAGAUAUUCUGGUGGCCUGUGUAGAGCAUGGUAUGCUUUCAUCAUUCACAGCGGCGGUUGCCUAUUUUUUAAGAUCCCGUAGUUCACGUCGGCGUUUUAAAAUCUCAUAUUUUUUAUUUGCAUACCGCUCCCUAUCCCUCUGCCUUUUGACCUCUUUAGAAUCUGCAUACACAUGACAAGUUAGUAUGUCAGAUAAUAACGAAUGUGAAAUAAUAACGAUCUUCCUGAAGAUUGCGUGUUCUAUCAGCUACCUUGACUUCGCCCGUUGGUUAUAUCUUGGAAUGGAGCCCGUGAGGAAGAUGCCAUACCAAAUUUAGGUUCCUCUACCCUGUGAAAUUAAGAGGCAUUAAAACUGCCUACCAGCAAAUUGUAAUAGUCAAUUCAACGGUGACAGCAUGAGAACUUUCUUCAAUUCAAUCACAUUGCGCGACUGCAGGAAAUCCACGGAACUGCAGAAAUUAAAAGGUGGUUUUGACUGUAUUUUGGGUGACUUUCCUGCAGAUGUUCUAUCAAAUUCUUGUAGAACCCAGCGGCCGAUUGUCUGAAGAAACCUAAAGACAGACGCGGCGUUGAUUCCUCUGCCAGAGCAUGCAGUUUUCUGGAGAACUGUUGCUGGGCGGACGUUGCUGGGCGACCACGGCGAGAGGAAGGCGAGCAGGGCGGCUGCUGGACGUGGAGAACUGCUGUUGUGCGGACGUUGCUGGGCGACGGCGGCGAGAGGAAGGUGAGCAGGGCGACGGCUGGACGUGGAGAACUGCUGCUGGGUGACCACGGGGAGAGCAAGGCGAGCAGGGCGACUGCUGGACGUGGAGAACUGCUCGUGUGCGGAUGUUGCUGGGCGGCGAGAGGAAGGCGAGCAGGGCGGGCGACGGCUGGACGUGGAGAACUGCUGCUGUGCGGACAUUGCUGGGCGACGGUGGCGAGAGGAAGGCGAGCAGGGCGGGCGACGGCUGGACGUGGAGAACUGCUCCUGUGCGGAAGUUGCUGGGCGACCACGGCAAGAGGAAGUGGUGCUGGACAUGCACGAUCUAAUUUAUUCCUGGAUCAGUGUAGACGGUUGUGAUCCGCUGGUCCGCUCCCUUCAAAGAUGUGAGCGAUUUCAGGCGUUGGAUAUAUCCUUUGGAAGGCUGAGAUUUGUUGGA
Molecule: non-coding RNA, 1232 nt
Organism: Lolium perenne
Lineage: Eukaryota; Viridiplantae; Streptophyta; Magnoliopsida; Poales; Poaceae
Source: RefSeq, a predicted model, not a curated record